Oncorhynchus gorbuscha (pink salmon) is the source of this 650-nucleotide long non-coding RNA. RefSeq lists it as uncharacterized. The record is from RefSeq and is a predicted model, not a curated record. The transcript has 3 exons. Lineage: Eukaryota; Metazoa; Chordata; Actinopteri; Salmoniformes; Salmonidae.
UCAGGGGCCUCAGUAGCAUCCGCCGCUCCGGGACCCAUGGUUUCAACUGUGUGGGAGCCGGACCGAGUCACACACCAAACUGCAACCAACCGCAACCACAACCGCCGCUAUACGCUGCCUGCUGCGCAGUGCCUGGAAAAGCAGGCCUCGCCCGGGCCCCGUUCUCAUUAGCUAGCUCAAGGUUGAGUAUCUCAGUUAAGCUCCCUCAACUUUCGGAUGAAAUGGUAUCAUCAUGACUUGCAUGUGGACCAGAGUGACAUUUGACGUAUGCGCUUCCUCUCCACAUCUGGCUCAGGUCCAAGGCAGUCCAGCGAUGUGUGAAAGGAUGAAUGGUGACUCUCAUAUUGGCUGACUGCACCAGUCCACUUCCACCCAGUCAUGCUUCUCCCAUCCUUAAACAUCAGUCCAGCUGUUGGUGCAUGUGAGGCUGGCUGUGUGCGUGCGUGCGUCCGUCCGUUCACUGGAUCGUGCUAGCUCCCCUAACCUCGGCAGAUGUACGUGAUUGUAGGCCUACAGUCAUGUUGGCAGUGGUCUCUUCUUUGUCCUGACACUUACAUUGAUUCGCGUGAAAGCAUGCCGUAAUUGUACUCUAAGAAAAUUAGUGCUGUCCUUGUUUUCAGUUGUGCAUUAUAAAACAUUUUGUUAAUAGC